Caenorhabditis elegans is the source of this 139-nucleotide non-coding RNA. The record is from Ensembl. Lineage: Eukaryota; Metazoa; Nematoda; Chromadorea; Rhabditida; Rhabditidae.
UAUAUGUGGAUGUGUAUUAAAAUAGGAAUGAACAAAGAGAAAGAGUCAUAAAUUCAAUCAUUCGAACAUGGAUAAUUGCACCCGAUGGACUGUCUCUCGAAAAGAGAGCAAUUAUAUCCAUUGAAUUCACAACCUGACA